RNAcentral lists this ribosomal RNA (253 nucleotides) under uncultured bacterium. RNAcentral describes it as "partial 16S ribosomal RNA". It matches the Rfam family "Bacterial small subunit ribosomal RNA", at positions 524 to 776 of the family's 1533-position model. The record is from RNAcentral.
UACGGGGGGGGCAAGCGUUGUUCGGAAUUACUGGGCGUAAAGGGCUCGUAGGCGGCCAACUAAGUCGGAUGUGAAAUCCCCAGGCUUAACCUGGGAACUGCAUCCGAUACUGGAUGGCUUGAAUCCGGGAGAGGGAUGCAGAAUUCCAGGUGUAGCGGUGAAAUGCGUAGAUAUCUGGAGGAAUACCGGUGGCGAAGGCGGCAUCCUGGACCGGCAUUGACGCUGAUGAGCGAAAGCCAGGGGAGCAAACCGG